Molecule: ribosomal RNA, 415 nt
Filed under: Gastrotheca nicefori (Niceforo's marsupial frog)
Lineage: Eukaryota; Metazoa; Chordata; Amphibia; Anura; Hemiphractidae
Description: partial 12S ribosomal RNA
Rfam family: Bacterial small subunit ribosomal RNA
Source: RNAcentral
ACUUGACGGUACCCCAUAUCCCCCUAGAGGAGCCUGUUCUGUAAUCGAUAAUCCACGCUAAACCUCACCAUUUCUAGUUUAUCAGCCUGUAUACCUCCGUCGUCAGCUUACCGCGUGAGCGACCCUAGUAAGCUCAAUGAUAUUUCAUCAAUACGUCAGGUCAAGGUGCAGCAAAUGAAAUGGGAAGAAAUGGGCUACACUUUCUAAUUUAGAAAAAACGAAAGACUUUAUGAAACCUAGUCAGAAGGCGGAUUUAGAAGUAAGAGGGAAUUAGAAUAUCCCCUUAACCUGGCACUGGGGUGUGUACACACCGCCCGUCACCCUCUUCAAUAAGCCAAUAACAGUAUUUAACUACCUAGCGUACAAUAGAAGAGGUAAGUCGUAACAUGGUAAGUAUACCGGAAGGUGUGCUUGG